This 205-nucleotide microRNA precursor is filed under the name Oryza nivara. RNAcentral describes it as "MIR812 microRNA precursor family". It matches the Rfam family "MIR812 microRNA precursor family". Lineage: Eukaryota; Viridiplantae; Streptophyta; Magnoliopsida; Poales; Poaceae. The record is from Rfam by way of RNAcentral.
AAAAAGGCAAACCGUGGGUUCCCGUGCCAACGUUUGACUGUCCGUCUUAUAUGAAAUUUUUUUAUAAUUAGUAUUUUUAUUGUUGUUAGAUGAUAAAACAUGAUUAAUACUUUAUGCGUGACUUAUCUUUUUAAUUUUGUUCAUAACUUUUUCAAAUAAGACGGACGGUUAAAUGUUGGACACGAAAACCAGGGUUUGUCUUUUU